GACUCUCAGCAACGGAUAUCUCGGCUCUUGCAUCGAUGAAGAACGUAGCGUGUAACGCCCCGUACCCGAGACCGUCGCCGGAGUCGAACACGAGGUGUUAACAGACUUAAUUCAUUACUU
Molecule: ribosomal RNA, 120 nt
Filed under: Gossypium hirsutum (cotton)
Lineage: Eukaryota; Viridiplantae; Streptophyta; Magnoliopsida; Malvales; Malvaceae
Description: 5.8S ribosomal RNA
Rfam family: 5.8S ribosomal RNA
About the family: 5.8S ribosomal RNA (5.8S rRNA) is a component of the large subunit of the eukaryotic ribosome. It is transcribed by RNA polymerase I as part of the 45S precursor that also contains 18S and 28S rRNA.
Source: Rfam by way of RNAcentral